CCGAGUUUACAACUCCCAAACCCCUGUGAACUUAUACCUAUACUGUUGCUUCGGCGGGUCAUUGCCCCGGGGAAGGACAGGGUGACCGUCAGGUCUCCCCUGCCCGCCCCCCCGGAAACAGGCGCCCGCCGGGGGACCCAAACUCUUGUAUUUCUUACUUUGCAUGUCUGAGUGGAAUCAUAAACAAAUGAAUCA
This 195-nucleotide unclassified non-coding RNA is filed under the name uncultured Paecilomyces. Its description in RNAcentral is "sequence contains ITS1". Lineage: Eukaryota; Fungi; Ascomycota; Eurotiomycetes; Eurotiales; Thermoascaceae. The record is from RNAcentral.